Molecule: ribosomal RNA, 265 nt
Filed under: uncultured bacterium
Lineage: Bacteria
Description: partial 16S ribosomal RNA
Rfam family: Bacterial small subunit ribosomal RNA
Source: RNAcentral
GUCCACGCUGUAAACGAUGGGCACUAGGUGUCGCGGGUAUUGACCCCUGCGGUGCCGCAGCUAACGCAUUAAGUGCCCCGCCUGGGGACUACGGCCGCAAGGUUAAAACUCAAAGGAAUUGACGGGGGCCCGCACAAGCGGUGGAGCAUGUGGUUCAAUUCGACGCAACGCGAAGAACCUUACCCGGGCUAGACAACAGAGGACACCCUUAGAAAUAAGGUCUUCCCUUCGGGGACUUCUGGUUCAGGUGCUGCAUGGCUGUCGU